GUCUCUCUCUCCAGAAUCUACUCUGCUUCUCUUCCUGUCUCUCUCUCCAGAAUCUACUCUGCUUCUCUUCCUGUCUCUCUCUCCAGAAUCUACUCUGCUUCUCUUCCUGUCUCUCUCUCCAGAAUCUACUCUGCUUCUCUUCCUCUCUCUCUCCAGAAUCUACUCUGCUUCUCUUCCUGUCUCUCUCUCCAGAAUCUACUCUGCUUCUCUUCCUGUCUCUCUCCAGAAUCUACUCUGCUUCUCUUCCUGUCUCUCUCUCCAGAAUCAACUCUGCUUCUCUUCCUGUCUCUCUCUCCAGAAUCAACUCUGCUUCUCUUCCUGUCUCUCUCUCCAGAAUCAACUCUACUUCUCUUCCUGUCUCUCUCUCCAGAAUCUACUCUGCUUCUCUUCCUGUCUCUCUCUCCAGAAUCUACUCUGCUUCUCUUCCUGUCUCUCUCUCCAGAAUCUACUCUGCUUCUCUUCCUGUCUCUCUCUCCAGAAUCUACUCUGCUUCUCUUCCUGUCUCCCUCUCCAGAAUCUACUCUGCUUCUCUUCCUGUCUCCCUCUCCAGAAUCUACUCUGCUUCUCUCCCUGUCUCUCUCCAGAAUCUAAACCAUGCUUCUCUUCCUGUCUCUCUCCAGAAUCUACUCUGCUUCUCUUCCUGUCUCUCUCCAGAAUCUAAACCAUGCUUCUCUUCCUGUCUCUCUCUCCAGAAUCUACUCUGCUUCUCUUCCUGUCUCUCUCCAGAAUCAACUCUGCUUCUCUUCCUGUCUCUCUCUCCAGAAUCAACUCUGCUUCUCUUCCUGUCUCUCUCCAGAAUCUACUCUGCUUCUCUUCCUGUCUCUCUCCAGAAUCUAAACCAUGCUUCUCUUCCUCUCUCUCUCCAGAAUCUAAACCCUGCUUCUCUUCCUGUCUCCCUCUCCAGAAUCUACUCUGCUUCUCUUCCUGUCUCCCUCUCCAGAAUCUAAACCAUGCUCCUCUUCCUGUCUCUCUCCAGAAUCUAAACCCUGCUUCUCUUCCUCUCUCUCUCCAGAAUCUAAGCCCUGCUUCUCUUCUUCUCUCUCUCCAGAAUCUAAACCCUGCUUCUCUUCCUCUCUCUCUCCAGAAUCUAAGCCCUGCUUCUCUUCCUCUCUCUCUCCAGAAUCUGCUUCUCUUCCUGUCUCUCUCUCCAGAAUCUACUCUGCUUCUCUUCCUGUCUCUCUCUCCAGAAUCUACUCUGCUUCUCUUCCUGUCUCUCUCCAGAAUCUAAACCCUGCUUCUCUUCCUGUUCCUCUCUCCAGAAUCUACUCUGCUUCUCUUCCUGUUCCUCUCUCCAGGUUCUAAACCCUGCUCCUCUUCCUGUCUCUCUCCAGAAUCUAAACCCUGCUUCUCUUCCUGUCUCUCUCCAGAAUCUACUCUGCUUCUCUUCCUGUCUCUCUCCAGAAUCUACUCUGCUUCUCUUCCUGUCUCUCUCCAGAAUCUAAACCCUGCUUCUCUUCCUGUUCCUCUCUCCAGAAUCUACUCUGCUUCUCUUCCUGUUCCUCUCUCCAGAAUCUAAACCCUGCUUCUCUUCCUGUUCCUCUCUCCAGAAUCUACUCUGCUUCUCUUCCUGUUCCUCUCUCCAGGUUCUAAACCCUGCUCCUCUUCCUGUCUCUCUCCAGAAUCUAAACCCUGCUUCUCUUCCUGUCUCUCUCCAGAAUCUAAACCCUGCUUCUCUUCCUGUCUCUCUCCAGAAUCUACUCUGCUUCUCUUCCUGUUCCUCUCUCCAGAAUCUAAACCCUGCUUCUCUUCCUGUCUCUCUCCAGAAUCUAAACCCUGCUUCUCUUCCUGUCUCUCUCCAGAAUCUAAACCCUGCUUCUCUUCCUGUCUCUCUCCAGAAUCUAAACCCUGCUUCUCUUCCUGUUCCUCUCUCCAGAAUCUAAACCCUGCUUCUCUUCCUGUUCCUCUCUCCAGAAUCUAAACCCUGCUUCUCUCCCUGUCUCUCUCCAGAAUCUAAACCCUGCUUCUCUUCCUGUCUCUCUCCAGAAUCUAAACCCUGCUUCUCUUCCUGUCUCUCUCCAGAAUCUAAACCCUGCUCCUCUUCCUGUCUCUCUCCAGAAUCUAAACCCUGCUUCUCUUCCUGUUCCUCUCUCCAGAAUCUACUCUGCUUCUCUUCCUGUUCCUCUCUCCAGAAUCUAAACCCUGCUUCUCUUCCUGUUCCUCUCUCCAGAAUCUACUCUGCUUCUCUUCCUGUUCCUCUCUCCAGGUUCUAAACCCUGCUCCUCUUCCUGUCUCUCUCCAGAAUCUAAACCCUGCUUCUCUUCCUGUCUCUCUCCAGGUUCUAAACCCUGCUCCUCUUCCUGUCUCUCUCCAGGUUCUAAACCCUGCUCCUCUUCCUGUCUCUCUCCAGAAUCUAAACCCUGCUUCUCUUCCUGUCUCUCUCCAGAAUCUACUCUGCUUCUCUUCCUGUUUCUCUCCAGAAUCUAAACCCUGCUCCUCUUCCUGUCUCUCUCCAGAAUCUAAACCAUGCUUCUCUUCCUGUCUCUCUCCAGAAUCUAAACCCUGCUUCUCUUCCUGUUCCUCUCUCCAGAAUCUACUCUGCUUCUCUUCCUGUUCCUCUCUCCAGGUUCUAAACCCUGCUCCUCUUCCUGUCUCUCUCCAGAAUCUAAACCCUGCUUCUCUUCCUGUCUCUCUCCAGAAUCUAAACCCUGCUUCUCUUCCUGUCUCUCUCCAGAAUCUACUCUGCUUCUCUUCCUGUUCCUCUCUCCAGAAUCUAAACCCUGCUUCUCUUCCUGUCUCUCUCCAGAAUCUAAACCCUGCUUCUCUUCCUGUCUCUCUCCAGAAUCUAAACCCUGCUUCUCUUCCUGUCUCUCUCCAGAAUCUAAACCCUGCUUCUCUUCCUGUCUCUCUCCAGAAUCUAAACCCUGCUUCUCUUCCUGUUCCUCUCUCCAGAAUCUAAACCCUGCUUCUCUUCCUGUUCCUCUCCAGAAUCUAAACCCUGCUUCUCUCCCUGUCUCUCUCCAGAAUCUAAACCCUGCUUCUCUUCCUGUCUCUCUCCAGAAUCUAAACCCUGCUUCUCUUCCUGUCUCUCUCCAGAAUCUAAACCCUGCUCCUCUUCCUGUCUCUCUCCAGAAUCUAAACCCUGCUUCUCUUCCUGUUCCUCUCUCCAGAAUCUACUCUGCUUCUCUUCCUGUUCCUCUCUCCAGAAUCUAAACCCUGCUUCUCUUCCUGUUCCUCUCUCCAGAAUCUACUCUGCUUCUCUUCCUGUUCCUCUCUCCAGGUUCUAAACCCUGCUCCUCUUCCUGUCUCUCUCCAGAAUCUAAACCCUGCUUCUCUUCCUGUCUCUCUCCAGGUUCUAAACCCUGCUCCUCUUCCUGUCUCUCUCCAGGUUCUAAACCCUGCUCCUCUUCCUGUCUCUCUCCAGAAUCUAAACCCUGCUUCUCUUCCUGUCUCUCUCCAGAAUCUACUCUGCUUCUCUUCCUGUUUCUCUCCAGAAUCUAAACCCUGCUUCUCUUCCUGUCUCUCUCCAGAAUCUAAACCCUGCUUCUCUUCCUGUUCCUCUCUCCAGAAUCUAAACCCUGCUUCUCUUCCUGUCUCUCUCCAGAAUCUAAACCCUGCUCCUCUUCCUGUCUCUCUCCAGAAUCUAAACUCUGCUCCUC
Molecule: long non-coding RNA, 3596 nt
Organism: Oncorhynchus keta (chum salmon)
Lineage: Eukaryota; Metazoa; Chordata; Actinopteri; Salmoniformes; Salmonidae
Exons: 5
Source: RefSeq, a predicted model, not a curated record